UAUUUUUGAAUAAUUUCUCCCAAGUCCUGUUUGGUUUUUGCUUUGCAAGUAGCCAGGUAACACAGCAGUGCACACUUAGCAGGCAGCAUGGGUGUGCAGGGAGCCAGCUCUAUUCUAAUAGCAGCAGGGCUGUGAGCCUUCCCUCCACACUCCAAUCACUUCAAAGCCUACGUGGGCCCAUGUACAUGCCAAUACUCAUUAGCACAGAGCUCUAUUAACCAAGCUGUCAGCCUGACUCAAAGCAUUUUCCAUUCAAUUUUUAUCUUCGUGUCCCCCUACAUGUCCACCAUUAAUUUUUCCCAGAUGAGCCCUGUCCAUCAUUAUCAAGAGCAGCACUUUCUGGAGUAGAUUAGAAGAACAUCAGUGAUUCCUUUGUCUUCCAUCGUUUCCAUUUUAUUUUAAUUAAAACGUGAUUUAUUUCAUUCUUCCUGCAGUAUACCAGUAUCACUGAAACAACGUACAUCCCAUCAGAUAAUGGAAAUGGGUCCCCCCCCAUUAUUAAUCUGUGUUAUUUGUUAAAUUCCAAUAGUUUUUCUUUAUUUAAUGGCUGCACAAAUUACCUCUCAGGGAAGGCUGCAGUUAUUAAAGCUUAUCUCUCUUGGGCCUAAUUUUCUCUUGGUUUCAUACUAACCAUUUAUACUCAUGCAAAGUGUACAUCAAAUGCUAGGAGGGGUAUAUAUUUGAGAUUCAGUAGUAUUUUACCCACAUCCAUGAAAGCCUACUGAGUCAAAUUUUAUGCCAGCACUACGAUACUUCUGGCUGAAGAUCUCUUGCUGUGUUCCCACACUUCCACGUGGACACCAGACCACAGGUCCUUGUCAAGUUGCAGCAGAGACUCAAAAUCCUUGUCAUAGAAUCACAGAAUCAUCUACAUUGAAAAAAACCUUCAAGAUCAUCAAGUCCAACCAUCGACCUACAGAGUUCCCUCACUAACCGCAUCCCUCAGUGCCACAUCCACACAUCUGUUAAAUACUGCAGGGAUGGGGACUCCACCCCCUAUCUCCCUGGGCAGCCUGCUCCAGUGCUUGACCAUCUUCCUCACAAAUAAACUCUGCCUGAUGCUGGGCGUAAACCUCCGCUGGCACAACUGGAGACCAAGCUGGUAAGACCUAGAGCAGCACUUCCAAAAGCACUUUAGCAACAUUUACACGUCAAUCUAAAGGCUGAGAUUUCUAAGGAGCAGAUAGUCAUUUAGUGGCAUUGUCCAGGGAGUUAGCAUUCCCCCCAGCUGGUGAGUUCCUAUGUGGAUCUCCUCGUGAUGCAGUCAAGUCUCCCUUCAGAGCUCCACUGGGGUAAGCUUUCCAGAAGGUGCUAAUUACAAGUAUGCCUUUCUUUGACACAGCUCUGCCCCUUCCAGUGCUGCUGCAGGCUGCCCCUUUGUUUCAUCCACUUAAAAAAGUAACCUAGGGAAAAAAACAAACUGCUGACUGCUCUGGGCUGGGCCAGUUUCUCAAUCACUCCCACAAAGAGCUCUGUUGGUGCCCCUGACAAGGUGGUAAAGGAGGAUUUGGGGACUGAAGGUUUGUGGUGAGAGUGGAUGGAGGAGGGCAGGCAGCUCUGCAGCUUUGCUGCCCAUUUCCUUGGUGGUUAUUACCGUGCAGAUCUGGAAAUAUAUUCCAGUUGGAGCAGAUUUACUGGGGGACUCGUGAGAGAAUGGCUGUUUUGCAGGCAGCGUGUAAGGGUGAAUUACCAUAUAAAAUGCAUGGGAACUGUGGAAUGAAAUAUCCAAAUGUAUGAGAGCCUCUGUUUAUCCUUACAAGCACGCUCUAGAUUAUUCCUUCAUGAGAGGCUGCAAGAAAGAGCCCAGAACAAAAGGGAAAAAAACCCAGAAUCGUUCAUAAUUCUUGUCAAUCAGCCAGCGAUGCAGUAUGUAAGAAAAAAAAACAACACAGAGAAUUUAUGAAGGCCAGCAGCACACGGCAGUCAUUUAUGCUUAGCACCGGCCUGCACCUAUUCCUAUAUGUAGAAGAAUAGCAAAUAAUUAACACAGAACUGGUUAGUUAUUACUUGGGCCUGGAGCCAAGCCAUGUUAUAGCUGAUUUACCGUAAGGGUUUAUCUGCGCCAGCGCCGCUCUCCACCCGGGCUGGUGCUGGCUCCAGCUGCACGAACAACUGCGGAAGCUCCAGUGGACCAGGCACAGGCAUUUUACUGCUGGGUGGCCUCGUCUCGCUGUGCACUCACAUGUGUGCAGCUCUGUAGAUGGAUGAGUGUUUUACAGCCUCUCCUUAGAAAUGGCUUUAAUAUGCACACCAACAGUCAGCAUAUAAAAAUCAUUUCCAUCGAGUGAUUUCGGUAUAUGAGGGAGACAGAUUACAAGGCUUGUUAUUAUGCUACUGUGAUGGGCUCUAAAAAGGAAACAUUUUUCCUGGCAUGUUGUAAAUAUCCCGUCAUGACACUGCAAUCACAAGAUGGGAAACCGUUGCAGCCACGCAUGAGAAAGUCAGCACCGCAGUGUUCUUUGCUGUGAAGCAUGUGAAAAUGGAGCUGGCCCCUGCCUAGCAAGGCUCCUUGCUCACUGAGCUGCUCCAGGACUACGCUCUCAGAAGGACCAAAAUCAGGUUUGAGUGAUGCUGGAAUGCAUGCCGGUGUCUCAGAGGACUCAGGGAUAGAGAUGACAUUUGGGAACGUAAACCGAAGUUUCUAGAAGUAAGCAAAGAGUUAAACAAUAAGCCAUAUCAGGUAGCCUGUUUAUUGCCACAUGGCUAUUUCCACUCCUGUUCUCCAUAAAGUUGUGCCAGCACUUUCAUUUUAAACACUGUUUUUCAUUAGUUUAUAUAACACAGCUGUAAAUGUUUCUUCAGGCUGAAACUUGGCAUCCGAAGUCACAAGGGAGAAACUAGGAAGAAAGAAACCACCCCUGGCUAAGCUGCUUCUGGGUGAUAUGAAAGUGAAAUUGCUGGGAGCUUUGCAGGGAACAGUCAGCUCCAGGAAGGCUUUGGGGUACCCUUACCAAUGCUUCCUACACCCAACCCCCCACCGCUCCUUCAGCCGUGUUACUGCCACUGCUGCGAUGCCAGACGGCGAGCGGGAUCAGUAAAACCGAUGCAGGUUUGAG
Gallus gallus (chicken) is the source of this 3056-nucleotide long non-coding RNA. RefSeq lists it as uncharacterized. The record is from RefSeq and is a predicted model, not a curated record. NCBI's taxonomy places the organism in Eukaryota, Metazoa, Chordata, Aves, Galliformes, Phasianidae. The transcript is spliced from 3 exons.